GUGAAUCAUCAAAUUUUUGAACGCAUAUUGCACUCUCUGGUAUUCCGGAGAGUAUUCCUAUUUGAGGGUCAUGUGAAAUAAUAUAAACUCCAAGAUUUCUCGGAAUUUAAAAUGGGUUAUCCAUUUUUUGUGGUCGCCUAAAAUCCAAGACACUUUAAUUUUCUUGGGUUGCUUCUUAGUUUCAUUCACCUCGUGAC
Molecule: unclassified non-coding RNA, 197 nt
Filed under: Ambisporaceae sp.
Lineage: Eukaryota; Fungi; Glomeromycota; Glomeromycetes; Archaeosporales; Ambisporaceae
Description: partial contains 5.8S ribosomal RNA and internal transcribed spacer 2
Rfam family: 5.8S ribosomal RNA (bases 1-71)
Source: RNAcentral